RNAcentral lists this long non-coding RNA (2044 nucleotides) under Sorghum bicolor (sorghum). RNAcentral's name for it is "long non-coding RNA (SBIC_LNC001705)". The record is from RNAcentral. Lineage: Eukaryota; Viridiplantae; Streptophyta; Magnoliopsida; Poales; Poaceae.
CUCCCAAAAAAUAUCAUCAGCAACACGCGCAAACUCAAUAUCUUCACAUUCACAGCUAGCGCAACAAUAGUUUAUUUCUCGCGGGCCGCGGCGAAACAGAAACACAGAUGGCAUCUGUUGGGGGUUGCAUUGCAUCGCAACUCCCAAGUCUGCAAUGUAAUAAACCAAUAAUAAAACAGCGUCGGCUUUGCCCCCGGUACGGUGAUGAAGGUGCACAUGCCGGCACUUGGGCGGGGCGUUGGCCCAGGGUUAGGGCAGGGCAGGGCUGUUACCUCCUUGACGAGGUGCGGCCUGGUGAUGAGGCAGGCGGCGCUCCAGAGCGGGUCGUUGAUGUCGGCGCCGAGCGCCUCCAGCUGCGUGGCGAAGCCGCCGUCGAUGACCGCGCACCCGCCCGCCUUCGCCACGAGCUCCUCCAGCGCCCCCAUCCCCCGCCGGUUCAGGUUCAGUCAAGCGCGCGCGACUACGACACUCGGCCCGCCGCACGCAGCAACGGGAGAUGGGAGACCUGCUGCUAAUGCCUCGUGAUCGACCGAGGAGCGGUAGGGAGAGGGAUAUAUAUUGCUGAGAAUGAGAUGGCCUAUAUACAAGAGUAGUAGGUAGACGACGACUAAAUUUGGCGACAAGCAAAGCAAUCCAAGUGGCGAUCGAGCUUAGAUACGAACGCGGACUGGUUUCUGGGGUAGGUGCGCUCGCACAGCUGGACCGUCCAGGACCACGAUUGAAUGCGUAUGCGUUGCUUCGAGUUUGAAGUUUUGAACCAGCCUACCGCAACGAGAUGUGCAGAUGUAACCGAAAUUAAUUAGUUCGGGAAAUUUGUUUGGGUUUGACUACCCAGGUAAUAUAGGCCUUGUUUAGUUCGCAACGAGUUUGAAGUUUGAACCAGCCUACCGCAACGAGAUGAACCUGUAUUUCCAUAAUUUCAUCUGAGCGAUGCUCUGCGUCUGUUCAGUGCUAGCCUACUUAUGGAAUCUUCAAAAGUCAAAAGCCAAGGUUUGACAGUUUUGUGCAGCAACUGCGACCGGGAAAACAGUUUUAGUCGACUCUAAAAAAAAAAAAGGAAUCGGCGCGGUGCAACCGCCGUAGUGCAGAACCGGUAAUCGGUUCAUUCCACACCACGAAAUCCGGCAACGUUCAACUGAACCAGGGCGCCAGUCCGGACUUUCACUUUCAACAGGAUUGGACUUUGUUCGUUCAAUCCAUCCAUUCCACAAUAAUAAUUUUCCAUAAUAUGCCAAAUGGGAGCCAGUCCAUGAAAUCUGUUUGCGCCAACGCUCUGGGCCUCUCUGCUCCUUUCCCGAUGGGCCGCAUAAGAAGUGGCAGGCCGAUUAUCAGCCCAGAAGUGUAUGUAGGUCCGACCCAUUCGGCCCAUCAGGCCUUUCGUCCAGGUCCAGCGCCCACCCCCUUCCACCGCCGUGCCCGUCUCCGCCAACACAAGGAAUUCUCUCACGUGCGGACCUCACGUCCCAUCGCCGGCCCUGCUGCACAGCGAUGCGGCUGCUCGCACGUCAUCAACUCCACGCGCGCGCGGUUGCGGAAACCUGCCUGAAACGCCGCCCCGUGCCUCGCCUACGGGGCCGACGGUGGGCCGGUCGGGCACUUUUCCAGACCGCCCUGCCGCUGCCGGCCCUGGCUGAGAUCAGCGUCGACCAAAACGUGCCGGUAGCAAUGGGCUAACCGAAAGCUUUACUCAUGUCACGUCUGCACGCCCACGGAGCUGGGGAGCUAGACUACAAUCACCAACUCCCCCCCCCCCCCAAAAAAAUAUCAUUAGCUUUCUCGCGGCGAACAGCAACACAGUAAUCAGAUGGCAUACGUUGGGGGUUGCAUUGCAUCGCAAGCCUGCAAUGUACUAGUAAUAAACAGCUAGCGCAGCUUUGUCCCCGUGUGAUAGAGGUGCUGUGCACAUGCAUGCCGGCAUCGGCAUGUCGCGCGGCGGGGCGUUGGCCCAGGGCUAUUAUAUUUACCUCCUUGAUGAGGUGCGGCCUGGUGAUGAGGCAGGCGGCGCUCCAGAGCAGGUCGUUGAUGUCGGCGCCGAGCGCCUCCA